GUUAAUAAUUUAGUGAGGCUAUCACGUAUUAAGAACACCAAUUUUUCUGUACAAAAGAUGCUGGGGGAAAUGCAAAAGAAAAAGUGAAUUUGAGGCAAUGUUUGAUGAGCUUUCAGAAAGUUAUAGCACAAUCUUGGAAUCUGGCCACUCGGGUGUUGUUUUAGCUGUGGGUCAAGGGUGUAAACGUCUUCUGACAAAGUAAAGAAGUUUUGUACAGAAUAUAAUGAAAGUGUAGGAAUGUUACGAACCAGAGUCACGUCAGAUGAGUAUUGUAAUGUGUUGUGCAAGAAUUUGAAAUAUGACGAUUUGAACGAUCGUAAAGGUGAAGAUCUUCAAAGUGCAAAAUUAAAUUUACAUGACACACUCAUGGUUCAAUUCAUGCUCGAAUUUAAUAAGCCAAUUAAAAUUAUCAACAGCAUUCUGGAUAUUCACUCGAUUGACUGGAGGAAGCUGUUUUGCAAUCGUAUGGGAAGCCAUAUUGCCGACAUUUAUGUGAAAAGUCAAUAUUUGGGCGAAAAAAGUCGCGAUAAAUUGUUUAAAAAGUUACAGGGCACUUUUCAAAAGUUAGCUGCAGAUAAAUAUGCAUCUCGUAGUUUUGAGGCAAUGUGGGCGAAAAACGUCGCGAAAAAUUGUUUAAAAAGUUACAGGCUUAUCUUCAUGCUUGUAUAUACUAGCUAGAAUUAUUACUUUGAUAAAAGAAGUUUUAUGGGCACUUUUCAAGGAUUUACAAAUUUUUCUGUGCAUUUACGGAUCUUUCUGAAAAUGUAGAGAUCCUUCUGGGAAUCUCCUAGGUCUCUGUGAAAAAUUUCCGAUAAUGUACCUAUAAUUAAAUCUCGGCGCCUGAUUUCCAGCGACUACUGCUAUUGGCUUGCGGUAUCGAUUUGUCACGGCAAUGUACUUAUAGGAGGAUUGGUUCCAAUGCAUUGAUCCAUUUUGCGUGUUCAUUAGGUACCAGUAGGCCAGUAUUAUUGUUAUAUGGUACAGGAGGACGGGGUCGUUCCCAAUUUUAUUGUAAUUAUCGUUUAUGGAUGUUAGAUGCCAUAUACGUAUUUCUCUCCAACGAUUAGAAAGGGUUGCAAGCCAGAAGAUUUGGUAAGCGCAUGUACACUGAUGGAAAAUCAUUUACGCCAAUACGAUCGGGUCAGGUGGCAAUUAAAAAGUGAACAUCAUGAAAACUACAAGAAAUUACUUCUCAAAGAACUAUUGGUGGCAUAAAACAAUUGGUACACAGUUUUUUCAUGUUUCACUCCUAAGCAUAUGGGACGUUACGUAACACUAUAGCUUUAAUAUAAUGAGUAAUUGUAGUUAAAAAAUGACCUAUGCAAAGCGCUAAACGUCUCUGAAAAGCUAUUAUGUAAACCUUUGAUAUUUUGGGGUUUCUAUCAGAGGUAAUUAAGUAAUUUGAGGCGUUCUUUGGUAAGGCUUUUAUAGGGCCUGUUCCGGAGCUUUUCAGGAAGAUAUUACAACUUUUUAGUUCCAAUGCUUUACAAAGCUUCUUCCACAAUUCUUUA
Photinus pyralis (common eastern firefly) is the source of this 1511-nucleotide long non-coding RNA. RefSeq lists it as uncharacterized. The transcript has 8 exons. The record is from RefSeq and is a predicted model, not a curated record. Lineage: Eukaryota; Metazoa; Arthropoda; Insecta; Coleoptera; Lampyridae.